Molecule: ribosomal RNA, 518 nt
Filed under: Acrophyma cumingii
Lineage: Eukaryota; Metazoa; Arthropoda; Insecta; Hemiptera; Acanthosomatidae
Description: partial 16S rRNA
Rfam family: Bacterial large subunit ribosomal RNA
Source: RNAcentral
GGCCUAUUGUAGAUUUAUAUUAGGUCUUACCUGCUCAAUGAUAAUAUAUUAUUAAAUAGCCGCAGUAUUUUGACUGUGCAAAGGUAGCAUAAUCAUUUGUCUUUUAAUUGUGGACUUGUAUGAAUGGUUUGAUGAAAUAUUAACUUUCUUUAUAUAAAUAAAAUUAACUUAAUUUUUUAGUUAAAAAGCUAAAAUAUUUUUAUAGGACGAGAAGACCCUAUAGAAUUUUAUACUUUUAUAGCAUUAUACUAUUGGGUUUUAUAUUAAUAGUGUUAGAAUAAGUAUUUUGUUGGGGUGACAGGGAAAUUUAAAUAACUUUCUUUAUGUAGUAUUUAUUUAUAUGUAUAUUAAUGAUCCUGUUUUACGGAUAAAAAGAUUAAAUUACCUUAGGGAUAACAGCGUAAUUCUUUUGGAGAGUUCUUAUCGAUAAAGGAGUUUGCGACCUCGAUGUUGGAUUAAAAUAAGUAUUAGGUGUAGGUGCUUAAUUACUAGGUCUGUUCGACCUUUAAAUUUUUACA